RNAcentral lists this ribosomal RNA (433 nucleotides) under uncultured bacterium. RNAcentral's name for it is "partial 16S ribosomal RNA". It matches the Rfam family "Bacterial small subunit ribosomal RNA", at positions 29 to 507 of the family's 1533-position model. The record is from RNAcentral.
AACGAACGCUGGCGGCAUGCCUAACACAUGCAAGUCGAACGAGACCUUCGGGUCUAUUGGCGCACGUGUGCGUAACGCGUGGGAACCUGCCCUUAGGUUCGGAAUAACUCCCCGAAAGGUGUGCUAAUACCGGAUAAUGUCUUCGGACCAAAGAUUUAUCGCCUUUGGAUGGGCCCGCGUUGGAUUAGCUAGUUGGUAGGGUAAAAGCCUACCAAGGCGACGAUCCAUAGCUGGUCUGAGAGGAUGAUCAGCCACACUGGGACUGAGACACGGCCCAGACUCCUACGGAAGGCAGCAGUAGAGAAUAUUGGACGCUGGGCGAAAGUCUGACAAAGCAAUGCCGCGUGAGUGAUGAAGGCCUUAGGGUUGUAAAGCUCUUUUACCCGGGAUGAUAAUGACAGUAACGGGAGAAUAAGCUCCGGCUAACUACGUG